CCUACGGGAGGCAGCAGUGGGGAAUUUUGGACAAUGGGGGCAACCCUGAUCCAGCAAUGCCGCGUGAGUGAAGAAGGCCCUCGGGUUGUAAAGCUCUUUUGUCAGGGAAGAAACGGUGGUUCCUAAUACGAGCUGCUAAUGACGGUACCUGAAGAAUAAGCACCGGCUAACUACGUGCCAGCAGCCGCGGUAAUACGUAGGGUGCAAGCGUUAAUCGGAAUUACUGGGCGUAAAGCGUGCGCAGGCGGUUUUAUAAGACAGAGGUGAAAUCCCCGGGCUCAACCUGGGAACUGCCUUUGUGACUGUAAGGCUAGAGUGUGUCAGAGGGGGGUAGAAUUCCACGUGUAGCAGUGAAAUGCGUAGAUAUGUGGAGGAAUACCGAUGGCGAAGGCAGCCCCCUGGGAUAACACUGACGCUCAUGCACGAAAGCGUGGGGAGCAAACAGGAUUAGAUACCCUGGUAGUCCACGCCCUAAACGAUGUCUACUAGUUGUCGGGACUUAAUUGUCUUGGUAACGCAGCUACGCGUGAGUAGACCGCCGUGGGAGGUACGGUCGCGAGAAGUUAAACGUAACGUUAAAGAAGUUAGUUACGGCGUGAGACGCCGACGGACGACGACGAGGGAGGAGG
Molecule: ribosomal RNA, 629 nt
Filed under: uncultured bacterium
Lineage: Bacteria
Description: bacterial SSU rRNA
Rfam family: Bacterial small subunit ribosomal RNA (bases 1-540)
Source: RNAcentral